GCGGCGCUGGUCCCGGUUCCGGCGGGCGUCGUUCUCCUCGGCGCCGAGCACGGGCGCGACGUCGUGCGGCUCGGCGCGCUGCUC
Molecule: transfer RNA, 84 nt
Filed under: Methylobacterium hispanicum
Lineage: Bacteria; Pseudomonadati; Pseudomonadota; Alphaproteobacteria; Hyphomicrobiales; Methylobacteriaceae
Description: tRNA-Glu
Source: RNAcentral